RNAcentral lists this unclassified non-coding RNA (336 nucleotides) under soil metagenome. Its description in RNAcentral is "partial contains 5.8S ribosomal RNA, internal transcribed spacer 2, and large subunit ribosomal RNA". The stretch from base 1 to 120 matches the Rfam family "5.8S ribosomal RNA", at positions 35 to 154 of the family's 154-position model. The record is from RNAcentral.
GAUGAAGAACGUAGCGAAAUGCGAUAAGUAGUGUGAAUUGCAGAAUUCAGUGAAUCAUCGAAUCUUUGAACGCACAUUGCGCCCCUUGGUAUUCCAUGGGGCAUGCCUGUUCGAGCGUCAUUUGUACCUUCAAGCUUUGCUUGGUGUUGGGUGUUUGUCUCGCCUUUGCGUGUAGACUCGCCUUAAAACAAUUGGCAGCCGGCGUAUUGAUUUCGGAGCGCAGUACAUCUCGCGCUUUGCACUCAUAACGACAGCGUCCAAAAGUACAUUUUACACUCUUGACCUCGGAUCAGGUAGGGAUACCCGCUGAACUUAAGCAUAUCAAUAAGCGGAGGA